GAUGAACGCUGGCGGCGUGCCUAAUACAUGCAAGUCGAGCGAUCCACUUCGGUGGUGAGCGGCGAACGGGUGAGUAACACGUAGGUGAUCUGCCCAUCAGACGGGGACAACGAUUGGAAACGAUCGCUAAUACCGGAUAGGACGAAAGUUUAAAGGUGCUUCUGGCACCGCUGAUGGAUGAGCCUGCGGCGCAUUAGCUAGUUGGUAGGGUAAAGGCCUACCAAGGCGACGAUGCGUAGCCGACCUGAGAGGGUGAACGGCCACACUGGGACUGAGACACGGCCCAGACUCCUACGGGAGGCAGCAGUAGGGAAUCUUCGGCAAUGGGCGAAAGCCUGACCGAGCAACGCCGCGUGAAUGAUGAAGGCCUUCGGGUUGUAAAAUUCUGUUAUAAGGGAAGAACGACUUUAGUAGGAAAUGGCUAGAGUGUGACGGUACCUUAUGAGAAAGCCACGGCUAACUACGUGCCAGCAGCCGCGGUAA
This 483-nucleotide ribosomal RNA is filed under the name uncultured bacterium. RNAcentral describes it as "partial 16S ribosomal RNA". It matches the Rfam family "Bacterial small subunit ribosomal RNA", at positions 28 to 523 of the family's 1533-position model. The record is from RNAcentral.